CCUACGGGGGGCAGCAGUAGGGAAUCUUUCACAAUGGGCGAAAGCCUGAUGGAGCAACGCCGCGUGGGUGAAGAAGGUCUUCGGAUCGUAAAACCCUGUUGUUAGAGAAGAAAGUGCGUGAGAGUAACUGUUCACGUUUCGACGGUAUCUAACCAGAAAGCCACGGCUAACUACGUGCCAGCAGCCGCGGUAAUACGUAGGUGGCAAGCGUUAUCCGGAUUUAUUGGGCGUAAAGGGAACGCAGGCGGUCUUUUAAGUCUGAUGUGAAAGCCUUCGGCUUAACCGGAGUAGUGCAUUGGAAACUGGGAGACGUGAGUGCAGAAGAGGAGAGUGGAACUCCAUGUGUAGCGGUGAAAUGCGUAGAUAUAUGGAAGAACACCAGUGGCGAAAGCGGCUCUCUGGUCUGUAACUGACGCUGAGGUUCGAAAGCGUGGGUAGCAAACAGGAUUAGAGACCCUGGUAGUC
This 465-nucleotide ribosomal RNA is filed under the name uncultured bacterium. RNAcentral's name for it is "partial 16S ribosomal RNA". It matches the Rfam family "Bacterial small subunit ribosomal RNA", at positions 338 to 795 of the family's 1533-position model. The record is from RNAcentral.